UACGGAGGGUGCAAGCGUUGUCCGGAUUUAUUGGGUUUAAAGGGUGCGCAGGCGGGAAGGUUAGUUCGUGGUGAAAGACGAUCGCUCAACGAUUGCAGUGCCAUGAAUACUGCCUUUCUUGAAUCUGGUUGAGGCCGGUGGAAUUGACCGUGUAGCGGUGAAAUGCAUAGAUAUGGUCAAGAACUCCAAUUGCGAAGGCAGCCGGCUGGGCCAGCAUUGACGCUCAGGCACGAGAGUGCGGGGAUCAAACAGG
Molecule: ribosomal RNA, 253 nt
Filed under: uncultured bacterium
Lineage: Bacteria
Description: partial 16S ribosomal RNA
Rfam family: Bacterial small subunit ribosomal RNA
Source: RNAcentral